RNAcentral lists this ribosomal RNA (614 nucleotides) under uncultured bacterium. Its description in RNAcentral is "bacterial SSU rRNA". It matches the Rfam family "Bacterial small subunit ribosomal RNA", at positions 338 to 954 of the family's 1533-position model. The record is from RNAcentral.
CCUACGGGAGGCAGCAGUAAGGAAUAUUGGACAAUGCUCGCAAGAGUGAUCCAGCCAUGCCGCGUGCAGGAAGAAUGCCCUAUGGGUAGUAAACUGCUUUUGAACUAGAGAAAACCCCAGUACGUGUACUGGGCUGAUAGUAUAGUUAGAAUAAGCAUCGGCUAACUUCGUGCCAGCAGCCGCGGUAAGACGAAGGAUGCAAGCGUUAUCCGGAUUCAUUGGGUUUAAAGGGAGCGUAGGUGGACUGAUAAGUCAGUGGUGAAAUCUCCGAGCUUAACUCGGAAAUUGCCAUUGAUACUGUUGGUCUUGAGUACAGUUGCUGUGGGCGGAAUAUGACAUGUAGUGGUGAAAUACAUAGAGAUGUCAUAGAACACCGAUUGCGAAGGCAGCUCACAAAGCUGUAACUGACACUGAGGCUCGAAAGUGCGGGGAUCAAACAGGAUUAGAUACCCUGGUAGUCCGCACCGUAAACGAUGAUUACUCGCUGCUAGGGGGCAACCUUUAGUGGCUUAGCGAAAGCGAUAAGUAAUCCACCUGGGGAGUACGCCGGCGACGGUGAAACGUCAAAGGAAUUGACGGCGNGAGAGNGCGACGGACGACACGAGGGGAGGAGG